Molecule: ribosomal RNA, 501 nt
Filed under: uncultured organism
Description: bacterial SSU rRNA
Rfam family: Bacterial small subunit ribosomal RNA
Source: RNAcentral
UGGAUCCAGACUUUGAUUCUGGCUCAGGAUGAACGCUAGCUACAGGCUUAACACAUGCAAGUCGAGGGGAAACGAUAGAGAAAGCUUGCUUUUUCUAGGCGUCGACCGGCGCACGGGUGAGUAACGCGUAUCCAACCUGCCCAUCACUUGGGGAUAACCUUGCGAAAGUAAGACUAAUACCCAAUGACGUCUCUAGAAGACAUCUGAAGGAGAUUAAAGAUUUAUCGGUGAUGGAUGGGGAUGCGUCUGAUUAGCUUGUUGGCGGGGUAACGGCCCACCAAGGCGACGAUCAGUAGGGGUUCUGAGAGGAAGGUCCCCCACAUUGGAACUGAGACACGGUCCAAACUCCUACGGGAGGCAGCAGUGAGGAAUAUUGGUCAAUGGACGAGAGUCUGAACCAGCCAAGUAGCGUGCAGGAUGACGGCCCUAUGGGUUGUAAACUGCUUUUAUAAGGGAAUAAAGUGAGUCUCGUGAGACUUUUUGCAUGUACCUUAUGAAUAA